CCGGCUUGCACCUUGGGUCGGAGGAAGGCUUUCCGUGAAGCCGGUAGUCGAGGAUGUGCGGCAAGGCGGAGCGGAGCGAGACUUCCCUAAUGAGUCACGUGGGCCGACCUGGGGCCGGGACGGAAAGAGUAGAAGAACUUCUUCCGGGUCACUGUCCAUACUCUCAACCUGGGGCGGGAACGUCUUUACUCUUUCCUGUAACUUUAAAGGCUGCACCGACUUACGGUGCUUGAGAUUUUGGUGAUGAGUUCCCAGAAAGGCAACGUGACUCGGUCCCGGCCUCAGAAGCACCAGAAUACGUUCUCCUUCAAAAAUGACAAGUUUGAUAAGAGUGUUCAGACCAAGAAAAUUAAUGCAAAACUUCAUGAUGGAGUAUGUCAACGCUGCAAAGAAGUUCUUGAAUGGCGUGUAAAAUACAGCAAAUACAAGCCACUGUCAAAGCCUAAGAAAUGUGUUAAAUGUUUACAAAAGACAGUGAAGGACUCUUACCACAUAAUGUGUAGACCAUGUGCCUGUGAACUUGAAGUUUGUGCCAAAUGUGGAAAGAAAGAAGAGAUCAUUAUUCCGUUUAAUAAAGAACCAGAAGCUCCAGAAAACACUGAAAAUGAAGGUUCUAGCCAUAGAAGACGCUGCAGACGGAAGGAAGACAGUGAUGAGGACCUAGAUGCUGAGUCUGACUCGGAUGGCGAGGAUGGAGACACUCAGGCCUGACAGCACCGAGUCAGUUGCAGAGGGAGUCAGAAGAGGCUCAUGAGCAACAUCGGUUAUUUAUAACAUUUGAGUAACAGAAUCUUAAAGGUUUUCACAGUAACACUUACGCUGUAUAUACAGAAUAUGUGUGGGCACACCAUGGCAUGUUGUAUAAAACCUAUAGAAAUUGUUUAGAAAAACAUUAUGUCAAAUUAUUCAGUGUUGAGAGUUGGUGAUUGUAUCAGCACUAUUUCAUGGAAAACUAAGAUGACUAGCUCAGCGUACAUGUCUUUAACCUGACUUCGGGUAUGUGGCUCCUUAGCAAAAGCCCCCUUACAUCGUACAAAGCAAAACAUUAUUUUUACACACACUACACACACGUACAAUCAUGUGUAAUGAUUUUCCUUCAAAUAUGUUUUUAUAUGCUUCAUUCCACUUUUUUAACCUUUUCCUAGUUUGGAAAUAUAUACUUAGAAAAAUGUGUCGACUGUAUAGUUACUCUCUAGAAAGGAAAACCCGACCUUCAUACUGGAGUGGAGAGACUUGCAGUAUCAGAAGCUCCUGUGAUGUUCUCCCUCGAAAGCUUAUCCUUCCCAGGAUUCCAUCCUCCGGAAUUAUCAUCUUAUUGCCAGUGUUUUCACCUGUAAACAGUACUCUCUUGCAGCUAGAGGUAGAUAGCCAUGUGAGGGGAAUCUGGGAAAGAAGUUUCAAGAAACCGAAAACAGUUUGGCUCUUCCUGCCUGAGUAUGGUGUGAGAAGACAGGACUUGAACCUGGAGCCAUUGUGAGGAAAUGCAUUGAGCUGCAGAGACGGUGUCCCAGUUCCAUGGUGUUGAGCUGCUAACCGUGAGAAUCUUGGGCUCACAACCUCCUAGUUCCUUUGAGGACUCUGGGAUGUGCCGAUUCUGGGAGAUCUAUCAGACUGUAUCCUCUGUACUUCAGCAAGUUUCCUCGUUGCCUUUCUUUGCAUCUGGGAGUCUUCUAGAGAGUGUACUAGAGGCAAUUCUGAAUGUCACUGAAUUCCAAUUCUGAAUGGCAACAUUCUUUCUGAA
Non-coding RNA from Mus caroli (Ryukyu mouse), 1741 nucleotides. The record is from RefSeq and is a predicted model, not a curated record. NCBI's taxonomy places the organism in Eukaryota, Metazoa, Chordata, Mammalia, Rodentia, Muridae.